ACGGGGCAGUGGCCCAACCCACAUGCAGUAGGCUUUGUACUUUGAGUUAUUUUUUAAACCAUUAGUGGGGUAGGUUUAUAUUCCAUCCACCCACAUUAUGUCAUCCAGCCUUCCAUGGGACAAGUGGCACCAACUGUGGCCAGGAGGUAUCAGCAAUGCACUUAGUUACAAUGAGGUCUUGGAGAGCCUACAACAGGGACGUCAUCUGAUACACAGACUGGUCACAGCUGAAAAUCCAGGCAUUUCCAGAGCCCUGCAUGGAUUCUACCUAGACUUCCAGGCAGCCGCAAUCACCUUUGGAGAGGACCUCCUGUGGGCCUCACAGAAGAGGCAAACUGCCGUGAAUUCUAUUGCUGCAAGGAAAUGACUUCUGCCAACACCCGUGGGAGCUUGGAAGAGAACCUGAGCUUCAUAUGGAUGGCAGUACCAGCUGACACCUUACCGCCGCCUGAUGACAAAAGUGAAGCUCUGAGAGGUUAAGCAAAACAUAACCGAAGACACAGGGCUGAGGCUGGGAAGGCGUUAGUGCUCUCUCUGUUCUUUCAAACCUGACAAAUGAACAAGUACAGAAGCUCCAACAGGCACCGCAGCCCGGCAAAGCCCAGGGCCUCUCCCUGAGCCCCUGGGGUAGGUGAAGAGGCUCCUGUCCCAAGAUAAUGACCUGUCUUCUGUUUCACUGUGAAUGCCAUAGGUGUCCGACCAUGGUUGUCACUAAUGUUUCCAUCAUCUGGCUUUUCAUAGUCAUUCUGUAUAAAUGCUACUAUGAAGACAUCCUAUUCACUGAAUCCUUUACUAACCAUAAUUUUCAUCCAAGAGUGUGUGUGACUUAAUUGAAGAAGAAAGAAAACAGCUUUACAGAGAAGGACCUCUUCCGAGAGCCUGUUGGGGUCACCACAGAGGUGGAGAAUAAAAUUAAGGAAAUCUGCUAAAUGA
Long non-coding RNA from Canis lupus familiaris (dog), 933 nucleotides. RefSeq lists it as uncharacterized. The record is from RefSeq and is a predicted model, not a curated record. The transcript is spliced from 6 exons. Lineage: Eukaryota; Metazoa; Chordata; Mammalia; Carnivora; Canidae.